AACGUCGUCGUAUUGCUCUGAAG
Molecule: non-coding RNA, 23 nt
Filed under: Cricetulus griseus (Chinese hamster)
Lineage: Eukaryota; Metazoa; Chordata; Mammalia; Rodentia; Cricetidae
Source: RNAcentral